This 176-nucleotide transfer RNA is filed under the name Eoxenos laboulbenei. RNAcentral's name for it is "transfer RNA-His". The record is from RNAcentral. Lineage: Eukaryota; Metazoa; Arthropoda; Insecta; Strepsiptera; Mengenillidae.
AUUUAUAUAGUUUAUAUAAAAUUUUAAUUUGUGGAAUUAAAGAAAUUUAUUAAUAAUUAAUAAUUAUUUAUAAAAUAGGGAAAGUAUUUUUUUAUUUAGGCUUUAUAUUUUCUUUUUAUUUAUUUUUUUUAGUUUUAAAAUUAUUUUUUUUAAAAAAAGUAGAAGUUAUUGAGUGA